UUCCCGUACUUGGUGUUACUGCGAAGGGGGGACGGAGAAGGCUAUGUUGGCCGGGCGACGGUUGUCCCGGUUUAAGCGUGUAGGUGUGUGUUCCAGGUAAAUCCGGUUCACUUUAACACUGAGGCGUGACGACGAGGCACUACGGUGCUGAAGCAACAAAUGCCCUGCUUCCAGGAAAAGCCUCUAAGCAUCAGGUAACAUCAAAUCGUACCCCAAACCGACACAGGUGGUCAGGUAGAGAAUACCAAGGCGCUUGAGAGAACUCGGGUGAAGGAACUAGGCAAAAUGGUGCCGUAACUUCGGGAGAAGGCACGCUGACACGUAGGUGAAGUGAUUUACUCAUGGAGCUGAAGUCAGUCGAAGAUACCAGCUGGCUGCAACUGUUUAUUAAAAACACAGCACUGUGCAAACACGAAAGUGGACGUAUACGGUGUGACGCCUGCCCGGUGCCGGAAGGUUAAUUGAUGGGGUCAGCGCAAGCGAAGCUCCUGAUCGAAGCCCCGGUAAACGGCGGCCGUAACUAUAACGGUCCUAAGGUAGCGAAAUUCCUUGUCGGGUAAGUUCCGACCUGCACGAAUGGCGUAAUGAUGGCCAGGCUGUCUCCACCCGAGACUCAGUGAAAUUGAACUCGCUGUGAAGAUGCAGUGUACCCGCGGCAAGACGGAAAGACCCCGUGAACCUUUACUAUAGCUUGACACUGAACAUUGAGCCUUGAUGUGUAGGAUAGGUGGGAGGCUUUGAAGUGUGGACGCCAGUCUGCAUGGAGCCGACCUUGAAAUACCACCCUUUAAUGUUUGAUGUUCUAACGUGGACCCGUAAUCCGGGUUGCGGACAGUGUCUGGUGGGUAGUUUGACUGGGGCGGUCUCCUCCUAAAGAGUAACGGAGGAGCACGAAGGUUGGCUAAUCCUGGUCGGACAUCAGGAGGUUAGUGCAAUGGCAUAAGCCAGCUUGACUGCGAGCGUGACGGCGCGAGCAGGUGCGAAAGCAGGUCAUAGUGAUCCGGUGGUUCUGAAUGGAAGGGCCAUCGCUCAACGGAUAAAAGGUACUCCGGGGAUAACAGGCUGAUACCGCCCAAGAGUUCAUAUCGACGGCGGUGUUUGGCACCUCGAUGUCGGCUCAUCACAUCCUGGGGCUGAAGUAGGUCCCAAGGGUAUGGCUGUUCGCCAUUUAAAGUGGUACGCGAGCUGGGUUUAGAACGUCGUGAGACAGUUCGGUCCCUAUCUGCCGUGGGCGCUGGAGAACUGAGGGGGGCUGCUCCUAGUACGAGAGGACCGGAGUGGACGCAUCACUGGUGUUCGGGUUGUCAUGCCAAUGGCACUGCCCGGUAGCUAAAUGCGGAAGAGAUAAGUGCUGAAAGCAUCUAAGCACGAAACUUGCCCCGAGAUGAGUUCUCCCUGAGACUUAGAGUCUCCUGAAGGAACGUUGAAGACGACGACGUUGAUAGGCCGGGUGUGUAAGCGCAGCGAUGCGUUGAGCUAACCGGUACUAAUGAACCGUGAGGCUUAACCUUACA
This 1514-nucleotide ribosomal RNA is filed under the name Salmonella enterica. Its description in RNAcentral is "bacterial LSU rRNA". It matches the Rfam family "Bacterial large subunit ribosomal RNA", at positions 1436 to 2925 of the family's 2925-position model. Lineage: Bacteria; Pseudomonadati; Pseudomonadota; Gammaproteobacteria; Enterobacterales; Enterobacteriaceae. The record is from RNAcentral.